Molecule: ribosomal RNA, 753 nt
Filed under: uncultured archaeon
Lineage: Archaea
Description: bacterial SSU rRNA
Rfam family: Archaeal small subunit ribosomal RNA
Source: RNAcentral
UUCCGGUUGAUCCCGCCGGAGGCCACUGCUAUCGGGGUCCGACUAAGCCAUGCGAGUCAAGGGGGUGUCCCUCUGGGACACCACCGGCGGACGGCUCAGUAACACGUCGGUAACCUACCCUCGGGAGGGGGAUAACCCCGGGAAACUGGGGCUAAUCCCCCAUAGGCCUGAGGUACUGGAAGGUCCUCAGGCCGAAAGGGGCUUUUGCCCGCCCGAGGAUGGGCCGGCGGCCGAUUAGGUAGUUGGUGGGGUAACGGCCCACCAAGCCGAAGAUCGGUACGGGCUGUGAGAGCAGGAGCCCGGAGAUGGACACUGAGACACGGGUCCAGGCCCUACGGGGCGCAGCAGGCGCGAAACCUCCGCAAUGCGGGAAACCGCGACGGGGGGACCCCGAGUGCCGUGGCACCGCCACGGCUUUUCCGGAGUGUAAAAAGCUCCGGGAAUAAGGGCUGGGCAAGGCCGGUGGCAGCCGCCGCGGUAAUACCGGCGGCCCGAGUGGUGGCCGCUAUUAUUGGGCCUAAAGCGUCCGUAGCCGGGCCCGUAAGUCCCUGGCGAAAUCCCACGGCUCAACCGUGGGGCUUGCUGGGGAUACUGCGGGCCUUGGGACCGGGAGAGGCGGGGGGUACCCCUGGGGUAGGGGUGAAAUCCUAUAAUCCCAGGGGGACCGCCAGUGGCCAAAGUGCCCCGCUGGAACGGGUUCCACCGUGAAGGACCAAGGCCAAGGAAGCAACCCGAAUUAAUACCCCGGUAGCC